RNAcentral lists this ribosomal RNA (259 nucleotides) under uncultured bacterium. Its description in RNAcentral is "partial 16S ribosomal RNA". It matches the Rfam family "Bacterial small subunit ribosomal RNA", at positions 94 to 354 of the family's 1533-position model. The record is from RNAcentral.
AGUGGCGGACGGGUGAGUAACGCGUGGGCAACCUGGCCUGUACAGGGGGAUAACACUUAGAAAUAGGUGCUAAUACCGCAUAACGGGAGAAGCCGCAUGGCUUCUUCCUGAAAACUCCGGUGGUACAGGAUGGGCCCGCGUCUGAUUAGCCAGUUGGCAGGGUAACGGCCUACCAAAGCGACGAUCAGUAGCCGGCCUGAGAGGGCGGACGGCCACACUGGGACUGAGACACGGCCCAGACUCCUACGGGAGGCAGCAG